Molecule: ribosomal RNA, 250 nt
Filed under: uncultured bacterium
Lineage: Bacteria
Description: partial 16S ribosomal RNA
Rfam family: Bacterial small subunit ribosomal RNA
Source: RNAcentral
UGCCUACGGGGCGCAGCAGUAGGGAAUCUUCCACAAUGGACGAAAGUCUGAUGGAGCAACGCCGCGUGAGUGAAGAAGGGUUUCGGCUCGUAAAGCUCUGUUGGUAGUGGAGAAAGAUAGAGGUAGUAACUGGCCUUUAUUUGACGGUAAUUACUUAGAAAGUCACGGCUAACUACGUGCCAGCAGCCGCGGUAAUACGUAGGUGGCAAGAGUUGUCCGGAUUUAUUGGGCGUAAAGCGAGUGCAGGCGG